RNAcentral lists this long non-coding RNA (331 nucleotides) under Mytilus galloprovincialis (Mediterranean mussel). The record is from RNAcentral. Lineage: Eukaryota; Metazoa; Mollusca; Bivalvia; Mytilida; Mytilidae.
UUUUUUUUAACAUUUGAAAUCGAAAUUAAAACAAACUGUUUUUCCUUUAACAUCUUCAUAUUCAAAUCUUUGUUGGGUCUUCAACGUUUGAGUACUAUUCUAAGUGCCUCAUGGUAGCUGUAAUAUGUGGGAAUCAUUGCAACAGAUAUAUCAGGACAUCCUCUGACAUACACAUGAUCAAUUAGUGUACCACCCUCUGUUGUUGGACUAUUGACAAGCUGGUUGAAACCUUUUGAUUGCAUGAAAUUUAAUACUGUAUUACAUUCUUUUAAAAUAUCUUGAUUAAAAUCACCAAUGAUUACAAUUUUUUCUGAUAAUAUUUGCAACUUAC